RNAcentral lists this ribosomal RNA (407 nucleotides) under uncultured Bdellovibrio sp. Its description in RNAcentral is "bacterial SSU rRNA". It matches the Rfam family "Bacterial small subunit ribosomal RNA", at positions 355 to 776 of the family's 1533-position model. Lineage: Bacteria; Pseudomonadati; Bdellovibrionota; Bdellovibrionia; Bdellovibrionales; Pseudobdellovibrionaceae. The record is from RNAcentral.
UAGGGAAUUUUGCACAAUGGGGGAAACCCUGAUGCAGCAACGCCGCGUGAGUGAAGAAGGCCUUCGGGUUGUAAAGCUCUGUUCUUGAGGAACAAAAAAAUGAGGGUACUUGAGGAGAAAGGACCGGCUAACUUCGUGCCAGCAGCCGCGGUAAGACGAGGGGUCCGAGCGUUGUCCGGAAUCAUUGGGCGUAAAGAGGGUGUAGGUGGUUUUGUAAGUCAGGAGUGAAAGACCCAGGCUCAACCUGGGGGUUGCUUUUGAUACUGCAAGGCUUGAGUGUGAAAGGGGGCAGUGGAAUUCCUGGUGUAGCGGUGAAAUGCGUAGAUAUCAGGAGGAAUAUCGGAGGCGAAGGCGUCUGUCUGGUUCAACACUGACACUGAGACCCGAGAGCGUGGGUAGCAAACAGG